RNAcentral lists this long non-coding RNA (726 nucleotides) under Manihot esculenta (cassava). RNAcentral describes it as "long non-coding RNA (MESC_LNC000419)". The record is from RNAcentral. Lineage: Eukaryota; Viridiplantae; Streptophyta; Magnoliopsida; Malpighiales; Euphorbiaceae.
AUAUAUAAGGCCCAAAUAAAAAAAAAAUCAAAUCAAAAUAGUAACUAAAAGCAAAUCAAACACAAAAUAAAAUAAAAUAAAAAAAUAAUCAGACCACUCAACUACGUGCAUCUGCAGCACCGAGUCCACUAAUUUCACUUAGAGGCACCGACUCAUCGUCACGGUUGCCAAUCGCCAAAGCUGGAAUCGAAGGAAACAAGCAAACCCACGAGAAGAAAGCACACCCAUAAGAAAAAAGAAUAGACGGCGCGAUGGUGAGAGACAAUUACCAACUUUAGAGAAACGGCACCUGCCACACAUAGACUCUGUCGCAAAGAGCACACAACAAUCUCAAAAUAGAGACAACAAACAUGCAACACGCACAAACAAGCAACAAGCCCUUAAAAGCAAGAUUAGUCCACCGACUAAAGCAAACCGAGGAAGGAGACGUCAUAGAGCCCAAUCGAGAAGGCCGACGGGAGCGUGGACCACCGGACGUAUCAAUGCGAUUCUAAAAUAACGACAUCACGAACAGAGCGAUCCUUCCAUUGGAAGCUAGAACCAAAGCCCUGAGCAUAAGAUCCCCUCAGAGCAAACUCUCUCACAAAUCCAGCGCCAGAGAUCUAAAAAGAUAAAAGAACAAAACAAAAUCAAACCAAAAAAGAAAAACGCCAGCCCUUCCAUCCUUGGCGAGAGAGAACCAUGACAGAAUCAAAAUAAAACUUCUUGUCCCUACUCGAAAGCAAC